This 86-nucleotide unclassified non-coding RNA is filed under the name Algibacter pectinivorans. RNAcentral describes it as "Flavo-1 RNA". Lineage: Bacteria; Pseudomonadati; Bacteroidota; Flavobacteriia; Flavobacteriales; Flavobacteriaceae. The record is from RNAcentral.
AUUUAGUGCGUGAGGGAUUGCAAUGAAAAUCCCACAGCCUGACUGGAAGGAAGUGCGAGGAAUUGUAAUGUAAAGCCCGACCCAAA